Non-coding RNA from Schistosoma haematobium, 48 nucleotides. The record is from Rfam. Lineage: Eukaryota; Metazoa; Platyhelminthes; Trematoda; Strigeidida; Schistosomatidae.
AUCCAGCUGACGAGUCUCAAAAAGGACGAAACGCGCUUCGAACUGGAU